AUUGAACGCUGGCGGCAGGCCUAACACAUGCAAGUCGAGCGGCAGCGGGAAAGUAGCUUGCUACUUUUGCCGGCGAGCGGCGGACGGGUGAGUAAUGCCUGGGGAUCUGCCCAGUCGAGGGGGAUAACUACUGGAAACGGUAGCUAAUACCGCAUACGCCCUACGGGGGAAAGCAGGGGACCUUCGGGCCUUGCGCGGAUGGAUGAACCCAGGUGGGAUUAGCUAGUUGGUGAGGUAAUGGCUCACCAAGGCGACGAUCCCUAGCUGGUCUGAGAGGAUGAUCAGCCACACUGGAACUGAGACACGGUCCAGACUCCUACGGGAGGCAGCAGUGGGGAAUAUUGCACAAUGGGGGAAACCCUGAUGCAGCCAUGCCGCGUGUGUGAAGAAGGCCUUCGGGUUGUAAAGCACUUUCAGCGAGGAGGAAAAGUUGGUAGCUAAUAACUGCCAGCUGUGACGUUACUCGCAGAAGAAGCACCGGCUAACUCCGUGCCAGCAGCCGCGGUAA
Molecule: ribosomal RNA, 508 nt
Filed under: uncultured bacterium
Lineage: Bacteria
Description: partial 16S ribosomal RNA
Rfam family: Bacterial small subunit ribosomal RNA
Source: RNAcentral